Molecule: ribosomal RNA, 253 nt
Filed under: uncultured bacterium
Lineage: Bacteria
Description: partial 16S ribosomal RNA
Rfam family: Bacterial small subunit ribosomal RNA
Source: RNAcentral
UACAGAGGGUGCGAGCGUUGUCCGGAAUCACUGGGCGUAAAGGGCGCGUAGGCGGCUCGGUAAGCGUGCGGUGAAAGCCCGGGGCUCAACCCCGGGUCGGCCGUGCGAACUGCGGAGCUGGAGCACUGUAGAGGCAGGUGGAAUUCCGGGUGUAGCGGUGGAAUGCGUAGAUAUCGGGAGGAACACCUGUGGCGAAAGCGGCUCACUGGACCACAACUGACGCUGAGGCGCGAAAGCUAGGGGAGCAAACAGG